RNAcentral lists this ribosomal RNA (434 nucleotides) under uncultured Oscillospiraceae bacterium. RNAcentral's name for it is "bacterial SSU rRNA". It matches the Rfam family "Bacterial small subunit ribosomal RNA", at positions 341 to 792 of the family's 1533-position model. Lineage: Bacteria; Bacillati; Bacillota; Clostridia; Eubacteriales; Oscillospiraceae. The record is from RNAcentral.
ACGGGAGGCAGCAGUGGGGAAUAUUGGGCAAUGGGCGCAAGCCUGACCCAGCGACGCCGCGUGAGGGAAGACGGUCUUCGGAUUGUAAACCUCUUUCAGCAGGGAAGAUAAUGACGGUACCUGCAGAAAAAGCAACGGCUAACUACGUGCCAGCAGCCGCGGUAAUACGUAGGUUGCAAGCGUUGUCCGGAUUUACUGGGUGUAAAGGGCGUGUAGGCGGAGCUGCAAGUCAGAUGUGAAAUCCCGGGGCUCAACCCCGGAACUGCAUUUGAAACUGUAGCCCUUGAGUAUCGGAGAGGCAAGCGGAAUUCCUAGUGUAGCGGUGAAAUGCGUAGAUAUUAGGAGGAACACCAGUGGCGAAGGCGGCUUGCUGGACGACAACUGACGCUGAGGCGCGAAAGCGUGGGGAGCAAACAGGAUUAGAUACCCUGGUA